GCCCCAACAUGGGCCCGAUCCCACAAACCAUGAGAUCACGACCGGAGCUGAAAUCAAGAGUGGGACGCCUCACCGACUAAACCACCCAGCGGCCCCUAGACAACUUUUCAAAGGAACGUCACUGUUUCCCUAACCUCCAGUGUGGAAUCAAAUAACCUCAUGUUUUAUUAUAAUGCUAUAAAAAUUGAACUAAGUGGAAGGAUAGAACUCUUAAAGAACUGUAUAAUCAAAAUGAAACUGCUAAUUACGUGAAAACACUGUUGCGAGCACACAGAAUUAAAAGCAACAACACGGAUAGGACGGAUGAUGCUUUGCUGGGACCCAGCGGCCGCUCAGGACGUAGAAAGAGGAACCGAGUGUAUGAUGGAGAUUCUUUUGGGUUUGGCGUGGCUUCUCCAAGGAACUCGCUGCACUGCUGCGGGUCUUUUGCCUCAAAUGGCAGGUGUUUGACACACUCUGGCCUUUGCUUUGUGGACAUCCACUCUUUCACACCAAAUAUGACCCCUUAUUAGCUCCGCUCGUGACAAUUAAAGCAAUAGCACCUGGUCCCAGUGCUGGACCCAAUGGCAGUGUUGGACUGGAGGGAGUCAAUCAGACGAUGGAGUAUUUGCUCUUCCUUCUCCACCUGCCACGUUCGAGAAGCCCAAGUCCCUGUGGACAUCACCCGGAGAAGGAGCCGUCCUCAGUGGGCCCUGAAUUCCUGACCCACGGAAUUGUGAGAAAUAAGAAAAUAGUUGCUGUUCGAAGCCACUGAGUUUUGGGGAUAGUCUGUUACACGGCAACAGAUAAGACAAACAAGAUGCGUUUAUGCAAUUCUUGCGGAGGGACAGUGCCACGCGGAGGAACAAGCACAAACAAUGAAGGUUAGAUGGACCUGGGUUCGAAUUCCUCAGCCACCAGGAGCUGUGCGAUGCUCGUUGCAGAAGCCUGGCCGCAUCCACUCCGUCCGAACCCUGUGGGCGCCUCCCUAUCUGCAAUUGUUCCAGGUUGCACAGCAUUUUGUAAAGUCCACGGGACUGAUGUAUCCCCAGUGUCCAAAGCAGUGCUUGACGCACAGUGUGUGCUCAGGAAGUACUUGUUGAAUAAACCAGAUGGACAGCCUAAGCCCAUUUGGAGGAGUAGCCCUCUAACAGGCCAGAGAUGAGCCGAGGCUGUGUGUUUGAACUUCCAUCACUACGGUCUGGAAGUCGGCACUCGCUAAGUGCGGACAUCAUUGGUGGCCUCAUCCAUGUUUGGCCCCUCCUGCGUCUCUGCUCACAGAAUCGCAAUUGUGCCCAGAGCAGCGGUGUGUCCAGCCCCCAGUGGUGGAUCCUGACUGGUCCACACUAGUCAUGACGACCCUUCAUCUUCCCAGCCUCCUUUGUGGCUAGGAAUGGCCAUGGAGCCUGUUUUGGCCAAUGAGACCAAAGUGGAAGCCUAUUGGUUAUGGGAAGGGUUUCUGGGAAAGUGUUAGCUUUCUUGGUAGAUGGAGGCCAAUGCAAUUGCACCUGUCCUUCCUCCUUCCUCCGCUGAAGGUGGAUGUGAUUGCUGGAGCAGGAGAAGCUGUCUUGUAACCACGAGCAAGAGGCCAAGAGAACUGCAAAGAAGCUCUGAAACUUUUUAUAACUUCUUGUUAUAAAACAAAAACAAUUCCCCAAGUCAGUAUAGUCAGGUUUUCUUUUACAUGUGGCCAAAGAAAGCCCAAAUGAUACACAGGUUGUCUGGUUGAAAAAACUGAGUUACGUAUGACACAUGAGCACGAAGGCUUAAAAGAGUUUCAGAGCCCUUACGUGUCCUUGAUUGAAGGGGUAAACUGGUAGAUUAAGUCCAAGAAACUGAAUUUUAUAGAAGACUUUUAUAAAGAGUGUCAGGAGUCAUGUGCUCAGCUUGUCAAUAAAAACAAGAAAAUCUGCAACUUU
Felis catus (domestic cat) is the source of this 1898-nucleotide long non-coding RNA. RefSeq lists it as uncharacterized. The record is from RefSeq and is a predicted model, not a curated record. NCBI's taxonomy places the organism in Eukaryota, Metazoa, Chordata, Mammalia, Carnivora, Felidae. The transcript has 4 exons.